This 406-nucleotide ribosomal RNA is filed under the name uncultured bacterium. RNAcentral describes it as "partial 16S ribosomal RNA". It matches the Rfam family "Bacterial small subunit ribosomal RNA", at positions 30 to 526 of the family's 1533-position model. The record is from RNAcentral.
AUUGAACGCUGGCGGCAGGCCUAACACAUGCAAGUCGAACGAGUGGCGGACGGGUGAGUAAUGUCUGGGAAACUGCCUGAUGGAGGGGGAUAACUACUGGAAACGGUAGCUAAUACCGCAUACCAUCGGAUGUGCCCAGAUGGGCUUAGCUAGUAGGUGGGGUAAAGGCUCACCUAGGCGACGAUCCCUAGCUGGUCUGAGAGGAUGACAGGCAACACUGGAACUGAGCCACGGUCCAGACUCCUACGGGAGGCAGCAGUGGGGAAUAUUGCAAAAUGGGCGCAAGCCUGAUGGAGCCAUGCCGCGGGUAUGAAGAAGGCCUUCGGGUUUUAAAGUACUUUCAGCGGGGAGGCGUUACCCGAAGAAGAAGCACCUGCUAACUCCGUGCCAGCCGCCGCGGUAAUUC